CAAGAGUUGCAGUUUCGAAACAGAGUGGAGGCUCCUUUAAUCUUGACAGCCCGAAUGCUACAGGGGUCACAGCACAUCUGCUCCGGAGGAAAGACAAAGGGCAAGGUGGGGCCACGGUAGCCCGCGCGGGGCUCUUGGCGGGCUGGGGGCGGCGUGCGCCGAGCUGGGCGCGAGUGGAGGGGCCGGCGGCUUUGUGCGCCCCCGCCAGUGCCCGCCCGCAGCCCCGCCGCAGCGUUUAACCUUGACUUCUCCCUCCUCGCUUCUGGCACGGGAGGAAAGCCUGUCCAGAUGGGCGUCCUGAGUGUGACGACGUCCCCUCCCGCCCCCGCGCUCUCGCGCAGAUGUCGCACGCUGCCCUGGGUCCCGCCACACCGCCCACCAAGGCCGCGGGCCCUGCGCGCCCGGGGCAGGCGGGCACAUCCCGCACCCUCUCCGCCCGCCCGCCCCCGGCGCCCUUCGCAUUCCCUUCUUCGGCCCUGGCCCCUCGGACCGGAGCGCCCAGGCCAGCUCAGGGUGUUCCCGUGGGGGUCUCCGGAAACAAUGAGCAGUUGCCCUACUGAGUUAAUGUGAUAAGGAGAAAAAAAAAAGGGAUUGAUGGUUAAGAGAAUGGUUGAACACAGGCACAUCUCAGGAUGGGGCAAUAUUUGGUGAGAACCAUAUUGGAUUCUACCAAAUUACAAAUAUAUUCCAGGUUGGCCUGAUCACUCACUCACCACUCCCUGCAACUCCAUGGAGAAGAUAUAAGCUGUCAAAAAUGUAUUUGUGAGUCUGAUGAGCUCUUUCACCCAGGUGACAGGGGUUUCUGCCAUAUUAAUAUUCUUCUUCUUCUCCACCUUUUGUGUUUCAAUGCUGGGCCUGGAGAAGGCAGGGACCUUGGCUCUUCCACGGUGGCUGUUCAUCAGCACUCACACAUCCACCACACCGGUUUAGUCGCACGCUGGAAGACGUAGGGGUUGGUAUGGAUAUUUUGUUUUGUGUUUGUUUUGAAACAAAGUCUCACCCUGUCACUCAGGCUGUAGUGCAGUGGUGUGAUCAUAGUUCACUGCAGCCUCAACCUCCCAGGCGCAAGUGAUGCUACUUCCUCAGCCCUCUGAGUAGCUGGGUCUACAGGCACAUGUCACUGUGCCCAGCUGUUAAAUUUUUUUGUUGUUGUUGUUUUGUAAAGAUGAGGUCUCUCUAUUGCCCACGCUGGUCUUGAACACCUGGGCUCAAGCAAUCCUCCCGCCCUGGCCUCCCAAAGUGCUGGGAUUACAGGCAUGAGCCACCGCACUUGGCCAGUGUUGAUAUUGUAGAUAGCAUAACCAGAGCAGGCUUCCCUGAGAAGUUGACGUUGGGCAAAGGCCUGAUGGAAAGGACCUCCUCUGUUGAAUGUGGAUAUUAAUAUUUCACACACUUGUAAGUGGGAAGAUGUGGGUGGAAAGCUGCACAUAAAGAUAGAGCCACUUGCCUUUGUCUUGUCAAUGCCUUCUUCUGAAGUUGUGUUCGCUAAAAUCGUCUCUGAACACAAUACAAGGUUAGCAUUCCUCUUUGUCCACUGUUAUGCAGCAAAUUUGAGCUCUGACUCCAGAGACUAACUUUGCCAUCCAGGGUUUCAGUGCCUCCCUUGAUUGACCUAGGACAUCCUCCCCAGAACAAACAGAAGCCUGCAGAUGAGAACACACUCAAUUUCCCUCCACUAAACUUACAAACCUACCUACAUCUGCACCCCAUCUUCUUUCUUUGCACUCCUUGCCUGCCUUCUCUUUGCUUACAAUCUUUAUUGAAGUUAUACAAAAAGAAUCCUCCAAAAGUGAAAAAAUACAUUAUAUACAAAAACACUUUCCCUUGGGAGGAGGGCUGUGCCCUCUCUUUACAUGCAGUGCUUUCAGCUGUAGCUCCAGCCUCCACUGUCCCCUCCACUGCCGCCCGGCUUUCAACCCGAUUCUCAGCCUCCUCCUCCAUGUUUUCCAAAACUUCAUUUCCACUGGGGACAGCAUCUCCACUGCCUCCGUUCACCUCCAGCUCUUGUUUGACUUUCUUUGCAUCAUCUUUCCAGGGACUCUGUUCCUCCGGUUUCCUCUUCUUUCUGACAAAGUGAGAAAUAUCAGUCACACAAUUUGAUGAGGAAGCACCAUCUGUUGGCUUUCUACUGGCAAUCAGGAGACUGAAGAGCCUCCUCCACUAGGAGUGAAACCUGAAGUAGAGCUCUCCACCAGAGUAGCUUUCAGAGCCAGUUCAGCUACAUUCCCAGGUUUUGCUUGGAAUCUGCCAUCAGCAAUGCCGAGGCCUGGCCUUGGUGGAAAUGGAGGUGCUGCUUAACUUUUCUUCCAAAACAUAGUACAACCCUAGUCAUCCUGUUUAAUAUGUGAAUUUCUUUAUUGAUUUUUAAAAAAAUGCUUGUUUCCCAAGCACGUUUCUAACUUAGAGACUAUUAGGAGGUGUGUCUAGAUGUUAGAAAGGUGGACCCACCUCCACCGGGUGAGUGAAGAGAGGUGGAGCACUAUACUUGCAGAGUGCUGUAUGGGCCUCAGUGCAGUGUCUUUCUGCCUGGGAAAGCUUUUCUUUCAUGGGGCUGUGUCAUUUAUACAUGCAUGCCCUCAUGCACACCUUCCACAGGGCCAGCCAGCCCUCCUCUUGCAGGAAUCUUGCUCUCAACUGAGGCUGGGAGACUGAUGUCCGGGUAGGUGUGACAUGAGCUUAGGCAGUAAUUUGGCUCUUUUAAGAGUGCAGACAGUCUCCUGGAGUCCCGCAGCUCCCAUCACUCUGCAGCCAGGAGCAGAGUCCAGCUGUCCUCAGGCCCCACGGGGACCUCGCUGUAUUUGCUCUCCCCCUGCAAAAAAAUAUUGCAUGUGAUGACUAGGAAUAUAAAAUAAAUUACCUUUGCCAUAGGCUGCUGGGUUUAUUAGCCUCUUUCAAACUCUUCACAAUGUAAAGGACAGGCUGACCUACAGUGGCCUCCUCCUUCCAACAGGCUCUCCCUCUCUCCCCCUCACUCCCUCCCUCCCUCCCUCUCUCUCCCCCCUCUCUCUCCCCUCUCCUCUCUCUGUGUAACAGGAGCUCUAUUUGUACAUUUAACUGCUUAACCUUUUGAGUUACUUCAGAGCUCUGUAUUUUUUCUAAGAUUUCUUUGGGAUACAAUUAAAAUUUUUCCACCUUUAUUAAGGUAUAAUUGACAAUUAAAAAUUGUAUAUAUUUACGGUGUACAACAUCGUGUUUUGAUAUAUGUAUACCUUGUGAAGUGAUGACCAGAGUGAAGUUAAUUAACAUAGCCAUUGCCUCAUGUCGUUAUCGUUUUGUGAGUCAUGCACCUGAGACAUUCUUAUUAGCAAGCUUGGAGCAGCAGUGGAGUGUUGAAAAAAUUUCUCUCAAACCUGGGCUCUAGAGAUGGAGUCUCUCUCUUUCGCCCAGGCUGGAGUGCAGUGGUGCGAUCUCAGCUCACUGCAAGCUCCGCCUCCCGGGUUCACGCCAUUCUCCUGCCUCAGCCUCCCAAGUAGCUGUGACUACAGGCACCUGCCACCACACCGGGCUAAUUUUUUUUUUUUUUUGUAUUUUUAGUAGAGACGGGGUUUCACCGUGUUAGCCAGAACGGUCUUGAUCUCCUGACCUCAUGAUCUGCCCGCCUCGGUCUCCCAAAGUGCUGGGAUUACAGGUAUGAGCCACCGCGCCUGGCCGGGAUAGCAUUUUAACUGGAUAGCUGACUGGCUGAUUUUAUAUUCCCACUUAAUGGAUAGAGAAAUUGAGGCAUUAGGAACCAUAUGGACCUGCCUUACUCUGAGAGGGAAAUAGGAGCAGGCCUGGGAAGUUUUCCCAGGAAAGAGAAUUUGUUAUAGCUUCAUAGAUUCAUGGGAUGCAUGAAUUUUCUUUUUCUUUUUUUUUGAGUUGCAAGAUUGUGAGGUUGCAGAUGCUCUGAUGUGACCGAGCAAGAGUUUGUCAAUUCAGAGGUAGACCCCAGAUGGUGGGAAUCAAAGGAGGGAAGUGAGGGGCACACGGGCCUCUGGGGGCUGAGGCAGGAGACAGCUCUCUGCCUUUCUCAGGUAGAGGACCUUUGGAGAUGUGAAUGAAAACAGCUGUCUGAACAAGUGGUACCCUAACUAGCGCGGCUGUGAGUCUGAAGCUUGAAAUGGGGAAGUUGGUCAGCAUGGGUGAGCUAUGCAGCCCAGGUGAAGGGAUCCUCAAGCAGCAGCCUCUGCCUUUUUGUCUUCUCCUUUUCACGGAGAUGACAAGAAUCACCCCAGGACUUAUCUUCUGAGGUGCUCAGCUGUGGUCCCAGUGCUGCUUUGGUCACUGCUAUGGCGGGUGGAAGCAGGAUGGGUGAAGUCAUUCUAAAUUAUAGCCAAAUUAUAUAUUUGCCAUCCCAAUAUAUGCCAGAGAAACUCUUGCACAGAUUCAUCCUGUCGUCUGCGCAGCAUUCAGCUUCUGGGAACCAUGUGUGGCUGCCUCUGGCUCCUUUAUCUCCAGGGCUUCUCGGAAGCCAUUUGUACAGACGUUUUCAGGCCUCUCCUGCCCACUGCUCAGGGUGUGGGUGCUGAGGGUGGGAUUUGGGAUUUGGCCAGGAGGAAGCAUCUGAAUUCAAGUUACCAGCAUAUUUCAUACUUUUCCUGCCUCCUAAAGGAAUUUUUAAAGAAUAUCUGUGACUUAAAGAUGGCAGACAAAAGUCACUGGGUUGUUUAAUCCCUGAUGAGAGACUAUGAAAAAGUGAUGACCCACAUUGAAAAAAUGCUUUUUCAUGUUUGGGAAAACAUGUACUUUGAACUUGGAAUUAAUAAUUACUUUCUCUAUCUUGUUUCUUUUCUUUCUUUCUUUUUUUUUUUUAGAGACAAGUUCUCACUCUGUUGCUCAGGCUGGAGUGCAGUGGCAUAAUCAUGGCUCACUGCAGCCUCCACCUCUUGGGCUCAAGCAAUUUUCCUGCCUCAGCCUCCUGAGUAGCUGGGACUACAGGUGUUUGCCACCAGCCCUGCUGUCUAUCUUGUUUCUAAAUCAAAAUUAAGCACUACUGGGUAAUGUCAUGGGAAGACGGUGGAGUAGGAAGCUCUAGGAAUUUAGGACUUGAGCAUCAGCUAGGAACGGUCUGAAUCAACUAUUUUGGAACUCUGAAGUCUAAUAUUCUGUCACGGGAGGAAAUCUCUUUAAAAGGUUCGACUCAGAGACCUCAGGACACCUCCAACAUGGGGCUUUCAAUCCGCUGUGAGUCCCCAGCUUCUGUGCAUGCCCAAUGUCCACGGCACACAGCUGUGCCAGACCCUGCUGUCGGGAUAACUGGCACCAGCCACGGGCAAUAGAUGACCUCAAUCUACCAGCCUGAGAGCUCCACCUUGAUCGCCACUGGUCCUCCUCUUUGAUCUCUUUCUCUCUUUCUGCUCAUUGUUUCUCUUUUUCCCUCCAAAUGGACUUUGUCCACUCUGGUUCCCAUCCUUGUGCCAGCCCCUCCCUUUCCUGUCAUCUUGACUCUGUGCAGUUGGCUCCACACUACGCUCGUUCAGGUGGCCUUUGCCUGCCUCAUAAUUCUCUGCUGAAACAGAGUAAUAAUAAAAAACCCAAGAAAAGAAAAUAUUUACCAGUUCUGAAAUGGCUUGAAUUAAUGAAGAAAGAUCAGAGACUCUUUUGCUAGGCUGUUGAAGUUCGAGGUGAAAUCAUCUUUUCUUCACUUGUUAACUGAAGGCAAACCCUUCGAAAUAUCCUGGCCUUGUUGUUCAUGUUGUUUUUGCAUUUUUAUCAUCAGGGUCACUUUUGUUAUAGAUUUGUCAUAGUGUGGAUCAACCUGCAUUCUUGUCAGGGUUUGCAAGCCUCCCUGCCAACGUGCUGAUCCAGUGCCUGUCCUGGAGUUACCCACCUCAUCCUGGUCUGUCUUUCUUAGAACAAUGACUUUCUAGCUCUAGCCUAAUACAAUAAUUUGUUUGGUGGUUUAAAGGAGUUGGCCAAGAAACACAGGCAAGAGCUAGCAUUCCCAAACUUAAUCCUUAAUCUGUUUGUCUUACUUGUUUAUGGAGAAAAACAGAAACAAAAUCACCCUAAGAUUGUGCUAUCUGAAACCAAAACACCUCCAGGAAGAUGUUCCAGGCUGAAUGUCCCACCCCCCUUCCCUCCCCCUGCUACCCCUCCAAUUCACAUGUUGAAGUUCUAAUGCCCAGUACCUCAGAAUGAGACUGUGUUUGGAGACAGGGUCUUUAUAGAGGUACUUAAGUUAGAAUAAGGUUAUUAGGAUGGGCUUUAUCCAAUAUGGUGAGUGUUCUUAUAAGAGGAGGAAAUUUAGAUACAGACACGAGCAGAGGGAAGACCCUCUUCAUGAGAAGACACAGAAAGCAGACAGCC
This 6288-nucleotide long non-coding RNA is filed under the name Homo sapiens (human). RNAcentral describes it as "non-protein coding lnc-CLVS1-1:7". Lineage: Eukaryota; Metazoa; Chordata; Mammalia; Primates; Hominidae. The record is from RNAcentral.